UACGUAGGGGGCAAGCGUUGUCCGGAAUCAUUGGGCGUAAAGAGCGUGUAGGCGGCCAUACAGGUCAGCUGUGAAAACUCGAGGCUCAACCUCGAGACGUCGGUUGAAACCGUAUGGCUAGAGUCCGGAAGAGGAGAGUGGAAUUCCCGGUGUAGCGGUGAAAUGCGCAGAUAUCGGGAAGAACACCUAUGGCGAAGGCAGCUCUCUGGGACGGUACUGACGCUGGGACGCGAAAGCGUGGGGAGCAAACAGG
This 253-nucleotide ribosomal RNA is filed under the name uncultured bacterium. RNAcentral describes it as "partial 16S ribosomal RNA". It matches the Rfam family "Bacterial small subunit ribosomal RNA", at positions 524 to 776 of the family's 1533-position model. The record is from RNAcentral.